Small nuclear RNA from Heterocephalus glaber (naked mole-rat), 144 nucleotides. Its record names the gene U2. It matches the Rfam family "U2 spliceosomal RNA". Rfam says of the family: U2 is a small nuclear RNA (snRNA) component of the spliceosome (involved in pre-mRNA splicing). The record is from Ensembl. NCBI's taxonomy places the organism in Eukaryota, Metazoa, Chordata, Mammalia, Rodentia, Bathyergidae.
AUUGCUUCUCGGCCUUUUGGCUAAGAUCAAGUGUAGUAUCUCAGUGAGUCUGUUAUUUGUGUACAAGAAGGAUAUUGAUUUUUGCAUGUUGACCUUGUAUCCAGCUACUCUACUGAAUGUGUCAAUUAAGUCUAGAGAUCUUUU